Molecule: ribosomal RNA, 250 nt
Filed under: uncultured bacterium
Lineage: Bacteria
Description: partial 16S ribosomal RNA
Rfam family: Bacterial small subunit ribosomal RNA
Source: RNAcentral
UACGGAGGGUGCAAGCGUUGUUCGGAAUUACUGGGCGUAAAGCGCUCGUAGGCGGGCUUAUAAGUCAGUUGUGAAAGCCCGGGGCCCAACCCCGGAAUUGCAAUUGAAACUGUGAGUCUUGAAUAUCUGAGAGGGUGGGGGAAUUCCUGGUGUAGAAGUGAAAUUCGUAGAUAUCAGGAGGAACACCUGAGGCGAAGGCGCCUGCCUGGCAGAAUAUUGACGCUGAGGAGCGAAAGCGUGGGGAGCAAAC